UUCGGCCUGGUUAUUCAUAACCCUUUGUUGUCCGACUCUGUUGCCUCCGGGGCGACCCUGCCUUCGGGCGGGGGCUCCGGGUGGACACUUCAAACUCUUGCGUAACUUUGCAGUCUGAGUAAACUUAAUUAAUAAAUUAAAACUUUCAACAACGGAUCUCUUGGCUCUCGCAUCGAUGAAGAACGCAGCGAAAUGCGAUACGUAAUGUGAAUUGCAGAAUUCAGUGAAUCAUCGAAUCUUUGAACGCAUAUUGCGCUCUCUGGUAUUCCGGAGAGCAUGCUUGUUUGAGUAUCAGUAAACACCUCAACUCCCUUUUUUCUUUUUUGAAAUGAGGGAGCUGGACUUGAGUGAUCCCAACACUUUUCUUCACUGAAAAGUGGCGGGUCACUUGAAAUGCAGGUGCAGCUGGACUUUUCUCUGAGCUAUAAGCAUAUCUAUUUAGUCUGCCUAAAAAACAGAUUAUUACCUUUGCUGCAGCUAACAUAAAGGAGAUGAGUUCUUGUGCUGACUGAUGCAGGAUUCACAGAGACAGCUUCGCGGCUGACUUUGUAAACUCGAUCUCAAAUCAAGUAAGACUACCCGCUGAACUUAAGCAUAUCAAU
Molecule: ribosomal RNA, 602 nt
Filed under: uncultured Mortierella
Lineage: Eukaryota; Fungi; Mortierellomycota; Mortierellomycetes; Mortierellales; Mortierellaceae
Description: eukaryotic LSU rRNA
Rfam family: 5.8S ribosomal RNA (bases 141-294)
Source: RNAcentral